Molecule: long non-coding RNA, 654 nt
Organism: Homo sapiens (human)
Lineage: Eukaryota; Metazoa; Chordata; Mammalia; Primates; Hominidae
Source: Ensembl
GCCUUCCCUCCCAGCAGCAAAAGCAGUCAGAGGACGAUGUUCCCUAGUCUAAUCUGCUCUUUCCUUCCUUCAUUCAUUCAAUCAAUCAUUCACGCAGCUGGCCAGCAGACACUGGAUGACCACCCCUGGGCCAGGCCUUGUGGCAAAUGCUACAGUAAUGACCAGACACAUCACACCCGCCUUCUAGAAGCCCUCCCUCACAAACCGGAUCAACUGCUAUGAUAAAGCAAAUUCUAGAUCCCAGAACUAGUGCUCUUAGAGCCAAGGCCAGCCGAUCCAAGUCUGGACUACUGCUCAGAUGAGCCGAGCCUGAAUUUGGGAGUGGUUGUUACAGAGCAUUACCCUGGCAAUAACUGACUGAUGCAGAGAUGUAAAUAGACAUCACUGGUGGAGCCCCCAGGAAAGCUCUUUAACAGAAGACAGACUCAGCUGGCAGGUUUCCCGUCUCCUUGAAUGAAGACAGGCUCAAUGCUUGGAGGGGUGAGAGGAGGCAGCCAUCUUACAACCACAGGUCACAGGAAGACACUAAACAAGGCCGUGUGGAAAGACAGAAGGAGCCUCCAUCCCUCAGCACCACAGAGACAUUGUAUCAGCCUAGAAAUGCCUAAAUCUGAACUUCCUCUUACCUAAGAAAAAUAAAACCUCAAUUUGAUU